RNAcentral lists this long non-coding RNA (1423 nucleotides) under Cucumis sativus (cucumber). RNAcentral's name for it is "long non-coding RNA (CSAT_LNC002054)". Lineage: Eukaryota; Viridiplantae; Streptophyta; Magnoliopsida; Cucurbitales; Cucurbitaceae. The record is from RNAcentral.
UCUUUUUUACCAGUGUGAAAUGUCAAUCUUGAACCGAUGAAAAAGUUUUCAAUCUGAAAUGAUAUGUCAAAAGACUCAAAACAGAAAAGAAGUGUUUUUUCAGCUAACUCAACUCUAAAAAGUGAGGUUACUUUUUUAGGCCCGUUCAAUAUUUUCCGAAGUGUACGUAUAGUUCCUGAGGUUAACUCAUUGACUUGUUAUUAGGUGGGUAUUUCUUCUGGAGCAACAGGAGCUGCCGCACUGAAAGUGGCAAAAAGACCUGAGAAUGCUGGAAAGCUUAUUGCGGUAUGCACCCUUUUUGUGUAUAUAGAUAAACUUUAAUUGGUUUUCCCCUUCUCAUGGUCAGUUACGAAAUUUCUCUAGGGAGGGAAAAUGGCAGGCUGCUCAAUGUUUGAAGUUGGUUGGAUAAGAGAGAAUAUCACGUAUUUUUUUAUCUAUUUUUUGGAGUCAAAUUCAGAAAGAUAUAGGAUAUUUCAUUGUUGUCUUAGCAUCUUUUACCCAACCAAAGAAGCUUUGGUAGUACGCAAUACUGGGACAAUUUUAAAGUCUUUGAGCAUUGGGAUUUGACCUGCUGAUGGCAUUUUCUUUUCUUUAUUAAAGACAUUGAUUAUAGGACGAAGCCUUUGGAAAUAUGAUCUGAGGGAUAAACUGCACAAAUAUCUUUUAAAAAAUGUCUAAAAAAUGUCUAUUGCUUAUAAUCGUAUAUGAAUGGGGUUGAGGAUUCCACCUUGGAAAGGGGCCUCAUAUUCCUUUAAAGAUAGGUGAGCUACUUUCUCUUGUUGCUAAUUGAUUUUGACACUUCUCUAUUUACUAAUUGAUUUUGACACGAAGGAUAAACCGUGCAGGUAUCUUACAAAAAAAUGUCUAUUUCUAAUAUUAGUAUAUGAUAUAUGAGUUACUUCUCUGUCAAUUGAUUUUAAGAUGAAACCCUAUACUAUCUAAUAAACAAAAGGACUCGUUUCGACUUAUAUAUAUAUUGUCAACUAAAAUCUUCUUGUCAUUUUGUUUCCCAUGAGUUGAAUUAAUUCUCUGUCACCUAAUUAAUCACUCCCUUUUCAGGUUGUAUUUGCAAGCUUUGGCGAACGAUACCUAUCCUCUGCCCUUUUCCAUUCAAUCCGAGAAGAAUGCGAAAACAUGCAACAUGAGCCAUGAAAAACCAUUUUAAUUAGACCUCCAAUUCAUCACACCAAUGCAGGAAGGAAUAGAAGUGGAACGGUAGACAAUCGAAGCCGGGCCAAGUGAUAGGUUGUUGUUAGUUGGCUUUGUUUAUUUGGUGUUUUGUUGGGAACUGUUGUUUUAAAAGGUAGGCUUUAUGUUGGUGCAAUUUGAAUAAUAAUAAUAAUGUGUUAUUUUUGUUGGAGAGAACGAUCCCUUCUCAAAUUCACUGCAGUCUAUGCAACGUUUGGAUUUUGUAAGUCGAACC